GAGGGAAUAGCUCAGUGGUAGAGCAUGUGCUUGGCAUAUACAAGGUCCUGGGUUUUAUCCCCAGUACCUCCA
This is a transfer RNA of Camelus ferus (Wild Bactrian camel), 72 nucleotides long. It matches the Rfam family "tRNA". From Rfam's summary of the family: Transfer RNA (tRNA) molecules are approximately 80 nucleotides in length. Their secondary structure includes four short double-helical elements and three loops (D, anti-codon, and T loops). Lineage: Eukaryota; Metazoa; Chordata; Mammalia; Artiodactyla; Camelidae. The record is from Rfam.